GAUAACAUAAACAGAAAUAAGAGAUAAGAAAUAAUAACAAUAAUAUCAGAGAAUUCCGAAAUAAGAGAAAAUACGAGCAAUACGCAAUAAAUAUAAGAAAAUGGAUACUCACCUAGUAGUGACAUACUUUCACAAUACCUAAGACACUCACCACACCCAAACUCUCCUAACCUCUAGCCACAACCCACACACUCACACUAGCCUUCUACCCUAAUCCGCGACCUCCACACCUUUCUAUCUAGGGUCAUGUCCUCAGUAAGCUGAAGCUGCUCCAUGUCAUGCCUAAUCACUUCCUUCCAAUAUUUCUUUGGCAUAACUCUACUCCUCCUGAAUCCAUCCAAAGCUAGCCUCUCACACCUCCGAACAGGGGCAUCCGUGCUCCUCCUCAUCACAUGCCCAAAUCAUCUCAAUCUGCCUUCUCGCAUCUUGUCCUCCACCAAAGUCACUCCCACCUUCUCCAAAAAUAUUUAUAUAAACCUAUAUAAAACCUCAAAUCAUGCCGCAAUAGAUAUUCACUCCCCAAAAGUGGGGGUGGAUUAUUACAUUCUUAUUGCUAAUCUUAGUUUUUGAUCUAAUCAUAGUAAAUUACUAUGAUUUUGUAUAAAAAGAAGUUAAAUAAAAGAAAUUCUCAAAGAAGUUGCCAAUAAGUUCUUUUAGCAAUAAUUGUUAUAAUAAUAACUUAUUAUCAAUCAUAUAAAACAAAACAAAAACAACAUACUACAUUUUAUAAUUGUUACACUUUCUCAUUUUUUUCUAAUUAAAUCACCAAUAAUAUUAGAAAAAAAAAACGAAAAAAUCCCCUCUUAAUCUUUCUCACCUUAUUUCCAUUACUACUAAUAUUUUCUCCUCUCUUUGAGCUAUAAAAUCUUCUCAUCUUCGCUACGUCUGUCUCCUCCGAUCCCGUCAGCGACGAUGAAUAUCUGGCCUCUGGAACAACAGGUAAAAUCAUCAUGUUACGUUCGAUCAAAUUGACAAGUGAAACUAACUCAUAUGAAUCAUAUAAUGGGCUUCCACAAUCCCAUAUAAUAGAAGAAGAAAUUUGAUCAACAUGUUCUCCUUUAUUGUUCAUUUUUUUCAUUAAACCCUUUGUGUCCAAUUGAUAGCUAGCAAGAUUAUAUAUAUAUUUGGACUAUGAUCAUUAUAGCUAUUGGAAAAAAAUAAUUAUAUAAAGGUUAAGUUUGACGCAGUGUAUUGGUUUUGUUGGGAGAUAAUUGGAGUAUGUAAUAGUUGUCUCAUGCAAAAUAUUACUAGUAAUGACGUUUCUAUCAAAUUCUAGUAUAUGGAACUUAAUUCUUGUAGAUUUCUUAUAUGACAUUUUGUGUGGUUAAAGUUAUAAGAUUCUUAAAUAUUAAAUUCUGGCCACAUCCGAUUUUGUAUAAUUUACAACAAUGGAAAAGGUAGGAAUAUAUCACGAAAUUUGAUAAAUGGUACAGAUAUAUCUUUUGUCAUAUUUUAGAUAUAAAUAUAUCUUUGUCGUUAAUUAAAAGACACAUAUAUACCCUUCUCACUAACGACAGAACACGUAUCAUAAUCCUGUUCAUUUGGACUUUUUAAAUUUAAUUAUCCCAACUCCACCCCAAAAUAAUUCUAAUUUUACCCAUAGUCCACUC
This 1610-nucleotide long non-coding RNA is filed under the name Capsicum annuum. Its description in RNAcentral is "long non-coding RNA (CANN_LNC021802)". Lineage: Eukaryota; Viridiplantae; Streptophyta; Magnoliopsida; Solanales; Solanaceae. The record is from RNAcentral.